GAUGAACGCUGGCGGCGUGCCUAAUACAUGCAAGUCGAGCGAACGGACGAGAAGCUUGCUUCUCUGAUGUUAGCGGCGGACGGGUGAGUAACACGUGGAUAACCUACCUAUAAGACUGGGAUAACUUCGGGAAACCGGAGCUAAUACCGGAUAAUAUUUUGAACCGCAUGGUUCAAAAGUGAAAGACGGUCUUGCUGUCACUUAUAGAUGGAUCCGCGCUGCAUUAGCUAGUUGGUAAGGUAACGGCUUACCAAGGCAACGAUGCAUAGCCGACCUGAGAGGGUGAUCGGCCACACGGGAACUGAAACACGGUCCAGACUCCUACGGGAGGCAGCAGUAGGGAAUCUUCCGCAAUGGGCGAAAGCCUGACGGAGCAACGCCGCGUGAGUGAUGAAGGUCUUCGGAUCGUAAAACUCUGUUAUUAGGGAAGAACAUAUGUGUAAGUAACUGUGCACAUCUUGACGGUACCUAAUCAGAAAGCCACGGCUAACUACGUG
RNAcentral lists this ribosomal RNA (497 nucleotides) under uncultured bacterium. RNAcentral's name for it is "partial 16S ribosomal RNA". It matches the Rfam family "Bacterial small subunit ribosomal RNA", at positions 28 to 507 of the family's 1533-position model. The record is from RNAcentral.